UACGGGGGGGGCAAGCGUUGUUCGGAAUUACUGGGCGUAAAGGGCUCGUAGGCGGCCAACUAAGUCAGACGUGAAAUCCCUCGGCUUAACCGGGGAACUGCGUCUGAUACUGGAUGGCUUGAGUUUGGGAGAGGGAUGCGGAAUUCCAGGUGUAGCGGUGAAAUGCGUAGAUAUCUGGAAGAACACCGGUGGCGAAGGCGGCAUCCUGGACCAACACUGACGCUGAGUGAGCGAAAGCCAGGGGAGCAAACGGG
This 254-nucleotide ribosomal RNA is filed under the name uncultured bacterium. RNAcentral's name for it is "partial 16S ribosomal RNA". It matches the Rfam family "Bacterial small subunit ribosomal RNA", at positions 524 to 776 of the family's 1533-position model. The record is from RNAcentral.